RNAcentral lists this ribosomal RNA (478 nucleotides) under uncultured bacterium. Its description in RNAcentral is "partial 16S ribosomal RNA". It matches the Rfam family "Bacterial small subunit ribosomal RNA", at positions 28 to 523 of the family's 1533-position model. The record is from RNAcentral.
GACGAACGCUGGCGGCAUGCCUAACACAUGCAAGUCGAGCGAGCAGAACCCUUCGGGGUGAAGCUAGCGGCGGACGGGUGAGUAACACGUGGGCAACCUGCCUCAUAGAGGGGAAUAGCCUUCCGAAAGGAAGAUUAAUACCGCAUAAGAUUGUAGCUUCGCAUGAAGCAGCAAUUAAAGGAGCAAUCCGCUAUGAGAUGGGCCCGCGGCGCAUUAGCUAGUUGGUGAGGUAACGGCUCACCAAGGCGACGAUGCGUAGCCGACCUGAGAGGGGGAUCGGCCAAAUUGGGACUGAGACACGGCCCAGAGUCCUACGGGAGGCAGCAGUGGGGAAUAUUGCACAAUGGGGGAAACCCUGAUGCAGCAAUGCCGCGUGAGUGAUGACGGCCUUCGGGUUGUAAAGCUCUGUCUUCGGGGACGAUAAUGGCGGUACCCGAGGAGGAAGCCACGGCUAACUACGUGCCAGCCGCCGCCGUAA